This 253-nucleotide ribosomal RNA is filed under the name uncultured bacterium. Its description in RNAcentral is "partial 16S ribosomal RNA". It matches the Rfam family "Bacterial small subunit ribosomal RNA", at positions 524 to 776 of the family's 1533-position model. The record is from RNAcentral.
CACGUAGGGCGCGAGCGUUGUCCGGAAUUAUUGGGCGUAAAGAGCUCGUAGGCGGCCUGUUGCGUCCGCUGUGAAAGCCCGGGGCUUAACCCCGGGUCGGCAGUGGAUACGGGCAGGCUAGAGGUAGGUAGGGGAGAAUGGAAUUCCCGGUGUAGCGGUGAAAUGCGCAGAUAUCGGGAGGAACACCGGUGGCGAAGGCGGUUCUCUGGGCCUUACCUGACGCUCAGGUGCGAAAGCUAGGGGAGCGAACAGG